Molecule: ribosomal RNA, 823 nt
Filed under: uncultured Bacillus sp.
Lineage: Bacteria; Bacillati; Bacillota; Bacilli; Caryophanales; Bacillaceae
Description: SSU rRNA
Rfam family: Bacterial small subunit ribosomal RNA
Source: RNAcentral
UAUUGGGCGUAAGCGCGCGCAGGUGGUUCCUUAAGUCUGAUGUGAAAGCCCACGGCUCAACCAUGGAGGGUCAUUGGAAACUGGGGAACUUGAGUGCAGAAGAGGAAAGUGGAAUUCCACGUGUAGCGGUGAAAUGCGUAGAGAUGUGGAGGAACACCAGUGGCGAAGGCGACUUUCUGGUCUGUAACUGACACUGAGGCGCGAAAGCGUGGGGAGCGAACAGGAUUAGAUACCCUGGUAGUCCACGCCGUAAACGAUGAGUGCUAAGUGUUAGAGGGUUUCCGCCCUUUAGUGCUGCAGCUAACGCAUUAAGCACUCCGCCUGGGGAGUACGGCCGCAAGGCUGAAACUCAAAGGAAUUGACGGGGGCCCGCACAAGCUGUGGAGCAUGUGGUUUAAUUCGAAGCAACGCGAAGAACCUUACCAGGUCUUGACAUCCUCUAACAACCCUAGAGAUAGGGCCUUCCCUUUCGGGGGACAGAGUGACAGGUGGUGCAUGGUUGUCGUCAGCUCGUGUCGUGAGAUGUUGGGUUAAGUCCCGCAACGAGCGCAACCCUUGAUCUUAGUUGCCAGCAUUCAGUUGGGCACUCUAAGGUGACUGCCGGUGACAAACCGGAGGAAGGUGGGGAUGACGUCAAAUCAUCAUGCCCCUUAUGACCUGGGCUACACACGUGCUACAAUGGAUGGUACAAAGAGCCCGCAAACCCGCGAGGGCAAGCUAAUCUCAUAAAGCCAUUCUCAGUUCGGAUUGCAGGCUGCAACUCGCCUGCAUGAAGCCGGAAUCGCUAGUAAUCGCGGAUCAGCAUGCCGCGGUGAAUACGUUC